UAAACAAGCUAACUGUCCAUGCUAUCGCUGUUAUAGGGCCAACGAAAGUUGUACAACAAGCAGAACUAGUGGGCUACUUUUUAAACGCAACCGCGUGUUUCCUUUGCGUGCUGUAAAGGCUUUCCAGUGGCAACGGGGUGAUAAGCGGGAUGACGGCCUUCGAGAACUACGGCUAAUGCCACUUCAUGAAACAAAUAUUCUCUCCACCACACACAGUGAUGAUGCAAGCCAUCGCACUAUAACAUUAAUUAGGUGCAGUGCAGGGGGACCCUGCGUGCAUUUGAAGCAUAAUUUUAAACAUAAUCUAUCAAUCAGCUGGCCCAGGUUUGCAGGUUCGGUUCCCCAACCCGCCGUUACAAGUCCACAUCGCUUUAUAUAAAAGUGUUAAAAGUGCUAAAUACCAGUCAACUUUAAAUGGAACUUUAACACACACACACACACACACACACACACACACACACACACACACACGUUGAAUCCUGAAUCACAACAGUGCAAUAGCUACAAACGGCCACCAGGAGGCACAGUGGGAUCAGCACAACACCCAAAUACACUCAAAAGAAAACA
Alosa sapidissima (American shad) is the source of this 567-nucleotide long non-coding RNA. RefSeq lists it as uncharacterized. Lineage: Eukaryota; Metazoa; Chordata; Actinopteri; Clupeiformes; Clupeidae. The transcript is spliced from 3 exons. The record is from RefSeq and is a predicted model, not a curated record.